RNAcentral lists this ribosomal RNA (213 nucleotides) under uncultured bacterium. RNAcentral's name for it is "partial 16S ribosomal RNA". It matches the Rfam family "Bacterial small subunit ribosomal RNA", at positions 355 to 565 of the family's 1533-position model. The record is from RNAcentral.
UGAGGAAUAUUGGACAAUGGGUGAGAGCCUGAUCCAGCCAUCCCGCGUGAAGGACGACGGCCCUAUGGGUUGUAAACUUCUUUUGUAUAGGGAUAAACCUACCCUCGUGAGGGUAGCUGAAGGUACUAUACGAAUAAGCACCGGCUAACUCCGUGCCAGCAGCCGCGGUAAUACGGAGGGUGCAAGCGUUAUCCGGAUUUAUUGGGUUUAAAG